RNAcentral lists this ribosomal RNA (442 nucleotides) under uncultured bacterium. RNAcentral's name for it is "partial 16S ribosomal RNA". It matches the Rfam family "Bacterial small subunit ribosomal RNA", at positions 338 to 795 of the family's 1533-position model. The record is from RNAcentral.
CCUACGGGUGGCAGCAGUGGGGAAUAUUGGGCAAUGGAGGCAACUCUGACCCAGCAACGCCGCGUGAAUGAUGAAGGUCUUCGGAUUGUAAAGUUCUUUUCUAAGGGAAGAAGAAAGUGACGGUACCUUAGGAAUAAGUCUCGGCUAACUACGUGCCAGCAGCCGCGGUAAUACGUAGGAGGCAAGCGUUAUCCGGAAUGACUGGGCGAAAGGGGCGCGUAGGCGGUCCGUUAAGUCAGCGGUAACAUUGCGGGGCUAAACCCCGUCGAGCCGUUGAAACUGGCGGACUUGAGUUGGCGAGAGGUACGCGGAAUGCGCGGUGUAGCGGUGAAAUGCAUAGAUAUCGCGAAGAACUCCGAUUGCGAAGGCAGCGUACCGGCGCCAGACUGACGCUGAGGCACGAAAGCGUGGGGAUCGAACAGGAUUAGAUACCCCUGUAGUC